GGGAAAAUCCAGAAGGUGAUGGGCAUGCGGCGACGAGGAGGCCCUGCGCUGGGCCGCGCUCGAGAAGCGCCACCCCCCCCCCCCCCCCUACGACCGCGUCCGCCGCGCCGUCGUGCCCAGCGACAUCGGCCUCGACUGCGGCGGCGCCGAGGCGGACGUGGGCAGCGGGAAGGGGUUCGUCGACGUUGACGUGCUCAGCCUCGGCGCGCAGCAGCGCCGGGCGCUGCUGGAGCGCGUCGUGCGCGACGCCGACGAGGACAAUGAGCGAUUCCUACUCAAGCUCAAGGAUCGCAUCGAGAGGGUCGGGAUUGACGUGCCCACCAUCGAGGUGCAGGUGCGGUUGCACAACCUCGAGGCAGAGGCGGAGGUGCGCGUUGGGAGCAGCGGCCUCCCCACCGUCCUCAACUCCAUCGUCAACACGCGAACGCGCUGCACCUGCUGCCCAGCAGGAAGAGGCCCAUGCCCAUUCUCCACGACGUCAGUGGCAUCAUCAAGCCUCGCAGGUAUACCCCCUCCACCCUGAAUUAUUGGUCACCCUAGUUUUAUCCUAAGUUAAACUUCCCUAGUCUUAGUAAAGUUUGUUGAAAAAAAAAAUCAUCGACAUGUACAACGUCAGAUUGGUUUGAUUAAACUUACCAUAUGUUGUAUUAGUGCAACUAUUUUGUAUUGUGCAUAUUAAUUUAUUUUUCUAUAUUUUCUUGAAGUUAGAGAAGUUUGAUUGAAGACAAAAUAAAAGUGACCAAUAAUUUGAAAGAGAUGGAGUAUAAACAAGGUUUUAAAAAACGCUAGACGCUAGGUGAACGCUAGCCUAUGGUUUAGAGUUUUUUGUGAUUAAACGUAGAUUAAACGUCUUUUGUGAUUAAACGACACUGUGAUUAAACGCAACGCUAGGCCAAAGUUUAGAGUUUAAUCAAGAUUAAACGUAGUUUUAAAACGUUUUUUAAAACAGGGAGUAUAAAUAAAGUGAUUUCUGUUCACUGCUUUUUUGUGCUAAAGAAAGGCAAGUUGGUUUUCUGUCCUAAAAAGAAGUCCAGUUGGUCCUUAGGCUAUUCCCAGUACAUGAUUUUAUUGUACGAUUUCAUAGAAUACCAUGCCUACAUUUGAGUUCACAAAUGAAACAGGGUCCCCAAUGCAAAGUUUCAUUUCUAGAUUUCAUAGACUAGCCAUAGCAUUUAAUUGUGAGAUAUGAUUGGGUGCAAUUGCAUGAAAUGAAAUCUAUAGUCGCCAAUGCAAGUUUCAACAAGUUUCAUAAUCUUGGAAACAGUGUAUACACAGUUUCAUCCUGAUGAAACUCAUUCUCUCUCUAUAAGUUUGCAGGAGCACUGGUCAUUUAAGCUGGGGAAGCAAGCAUAGUGUCGUACAAAGUUUUUUUUUUGAAAAGAAACAGUAGGGAAACCACCACCAUGGUAAAUAUAUUAAUAGGAGAAAACAAAAUAAAAUAAUAAAGAUACAGAGCCCGGGAAGGGCAUCAUCAGCACAAGAGUGCCCCCACCGAAGAGAAAAACUGAAAAGAAAAAACUGUACAUCAAAUAUACAGAGUUUAUCCAAUCUAAGAAAACUUGUUUGCUGCUAUCUUUUAGUCUCUGUGCUAGUAGAAUAGCUUCUUCUACAAACUGAGAUGUCCAGGCUCGAAGAGAAGGCCUUCUUCCUUCAAAAAUAAAGUUAUAUCUUUGCUUCCCGAUUUCCCAUGCAGCAAUGAUAAAAGUUUUCGUGAAGAAGUUGUUGCUGUUUUGCCUUGCAUCUUUCAUUAUAUUAUAGAAAGGAAAAUUAAAAUUCCAUAGCACUCCGAUCUUUUCCCAACAAGCUCUGCUAAAGGUGCAAGUAUAGAAGAGAUGCAGGGCAGUUUCUUCCAGAUUUUCCCUACAGAGCACACAAUUGUAGUUUCCAUUUUCAAUUUGAAAGUUUCUUCUUCUCAUCAGAUUUCUUGUGUUAAGCUUAUCCAUUAGAAGAAGCCAUGGGAAAAAAACCUUCAGCUUGUUGCUACACUUAGAGUUCCAGAUCCACUGGAAUGGUGGGGGAGUUUUGAUGUUUUUGUAGGGCAGGUUGUAGAACUUCUUGGAUGUAUACCUGUCUACCCCCCAAACGUAGUCCCAUUUAUCCUUUUCAUUCUCUUGAACCAGUAGAUUUUGAAUCAAGUUUUGAAGUUCCUGAUAUUCUUGAAAUGCUUCAGUGGACAAAUGAGUGUGAAACUAAUCUUCAAUUAUAUUGUUUCGGAGGAAUUCAGCCACUGAGAUGUCUUGAUUCUUGGCAAAGGAUAAGAGUCGAGGAAAGGCUUCAUCUAGAUGGUUAUUGUUGCAUACAUCUAUCCAUAAUAGUACACUUCAGCCAUUUCCAACUGUGCAGGUUGCAAUGCCUCUAAACAUGUCACAAAGUCUCAUAAUGUCCUUCCACCAAAAUGAACCCUUAUAUGUAGAAACAUGUGGGAUUUCUUCAUUAGGGUAGUAGGUGUUCCAUAUUAAUCUUACCCCGGGGAUGUUCUUGUUAAAACUUGUCUAAAUGUUUGAGAAGUAAAGCACAGUUCUGAUUGCUAA
Long non-coding RNA from Panicum virgatum (switchgrass), 2531 nucleotides. RefSeq lists it as uncharacterized. NCBI's taxonomy places the organism in Eukaryota, Viridiplantae, Streptophyta, Magnoliopsida, Poales, Poaceae. The transcript is spliced from 2 exons. The record is from RefSeq and is a predicted model, not a curated record.